CCUAAAGAACACUUCCCUUCCGCAGAGGUCCGUUUCGUCAAUAAUCUCCUCGAAAGACCUUCCUCCAUAAAUCCUAAAGAAGCGUCUUCUCUUGCCGCUUGGGCUCUGGUGGUACGAUUUUGCAGGGAUUGGAUUUCUUGGGCUUGAACAGCUAGGACAAGGCAUUGGGUCACACAUUUGUUUCGACAUUUCUGAGGAUUCUGAGAUCAUUGAGGUCGAAAAUUUCACCAUUAUGUGUCUCUGUGAUUUCCUGGAAUGAUGCACCAGCCUCUGGAGUUCCCUCCAAGUAAAUUGAUUGGCCACUUUGAGAAGUACCAGACCUGUUCCUGAAAGUGCACAUGUGAAAGAAGUUAUAUUGUUAAUGGAGACUAACGCUUGUACUGUGGAUGUCUUCGUAUGGAUAAGCUUUAUACUGUGGAUCCAAUUGGGCAUUCUAGAGGUUUGGCUUUAUCAUGGCAGAAUUAUAUUUCUCUUAAUUCAUUAUUCUCCUCAGAUAGAUUCUUGGAUACUUUGUUGACAUAUGGUGCUCAGAAUUUCUACAUGAGUUGUGUAUGUGGUGAUCCCAUUAUCCAAUCAAAAGAAAUUUUGGGAUAAAUUAGUCUCAAUCGGUGCAUCUAGACAUACUGAUUGGCUUGUUUAUGGGGAUUCCAAUUCCUUUCUUACUUAGCAAGUGAAGAAAGGUAGAAAUUGCACUUGUGAUAGGGAUAAGGCACAAUUUCGUGAUAUGAUACAUUCUUGGCAAUCAUGGUCUUACAUUCACUUGGGAGUUAUAAGAGGUUAGGUAUUGCUAAUCUUAAAAUCCUGUUGUAUAGAGCAAACUAUCAAACCAUGCAUGGAGGGUAACCUUUUCUAAUGUUGCUAUUUUUUCCAAGCCUGCAAUUGGAUCUGAUCACUAACGUUUACUCAUUGAUAUGGAUGGGGGAAGAUUCAAUGGUAGACGUCCCUUCGGUUGAGUCCAUUUUGUUUCAUCAUCUAGAUUGUAGGUUAAUUGCUACUACCACUUGGUCCCAUUCAUCAGAAAACACAACUGCAUCUAUUUUUCAAGAUAAAUUUACAAAAUGUAUUAUAUCUGACAGAACAAGGGGUUUGUGGAAAUAGACAUCUCUAAAUUAGAUCUUUGAUGUAUAAAAUUUAGAGUUUACGGAGGAUUCCUAUGUCUGAUCAUAUCAAAUUCCAAAUUGAGACUCUUACCACUUUAUAUGAAUGAAGAAUUGGACUUAGAGGAGGAAUUGUGAAAGCAGCAGAAGUCUCGUAUUACAUGGUUGUAGGAGGAUGAUAAGAACACCAAGUUCUUCCAUGCCACUACAUUGCAAAGGAGAUAACAAAGUAUCCUCAAACUCAAAUUAUCUAAGGGGAAUUGGUCUCAAACAAUGGAUGAAGUUUAUUAGGAGUUAUUGUCACAUUUUGAUAUGACAUUUCGGUCUGAAGGUGUUGAUGAUAUAUCUUUCAAAUCUGUACUUACUGCAGUUCCUACAGUGGUUUCAUUAGAAACAAAUCCUAUGUUACGUCUUCUCACCAUCAAUUACGGAGAUGCCCGAUGCACUAUUUGCUUUGAGUCCACUUAAGUUCCCAGGACUGGAUGGAUUCCCUCUUGCUUUUUUUCCUCAGAGUUAUUAUGGUUUGAUUAAAGUAGAUUUAUUUGCUUUUGUUUCUAAGUUCUUUGAGAAGGGCAUGCUUAAUCUACUUUGAAUGACACUCUUAUAUGUCUUAUACCAAACACCCCAACCCGGAGACUACAGAUCAAUUUUGACCGAUUGUUUUGUGUACAUGGUUUUUAAAGUUAUCACAAAAAUCAUGGCAUUGAGAUUGAAAUUGGAUUUGGAUGAGAUUACCUCCUCAUAUCAAUCAGCUUUUUGUUCCUAAUAGAAUCAUCUCUCACAAAAUAUUCAUUUCUCUUAAGUUAUUUCUGUUAGAAUAUGUUUAAGUGUGCUGCCGGGGCACAAUAGGGUUUUCCCCCCUCCACUGACCCAAUUUAGUGUGGGCCGGCUAGAUGGGGGGACAUACUUGUAAUUUCAGUUCUUAUAAAUAAGAUGGCUUGUGUGAUCAGUUAGAUCAUUCAAGCAUUCUCUCCAUUCAUUCUGUUAACAUGGUAUCAGAGCUUUUUUUAAUCUAGGGUUUUCAGCCUCCCUUCUUCUCCUCUUCCCAAAAUCGCGAGCCCCAUUCUCUCUCAUCUUCCAUCUUCUUCAUAAGCCUCCAUCUUCUCCCACCUUUGCUUUCCUAAUUACCUAUAGGACAGCCCUAAUAGGUGAUUCUAUGAAUCUAGCUGAUGUCCUACACAUUACAUUAAUGUUUUAAACCAAAAACCCUUACAAGAAUCAAUUAGGGUUCUUCCCCUCUCUGCGAUUUUUGAUUCUUCCUUUCUUGGAGUUUGUUUCUUCCUACUUUUAAGAACAAAUCUCCACCUAUUGAUGAUCAAGUACAACACCCUGGAAGGACUCAUCACUGUUUGCAAGAUUGAUAUCUAUCUUCACCUGUGAUUUCCCAAAAAUUAGAUUAGAGUUUUUUCUCCCAAAACCCUGGUUCCAUCGAUUUUUAGGUUCCCUCCCUUAGAAUCAAUUGAGAUUUGGAGGAAAACUUCCUCAACUCUACAGAGGAGUUCGACCAACCUUGUGGCUCUAGCUGCGAAGGUUGUGUAUGUGACCCUCUUUGAAGAUUUUAAGGUUUUUUGCUAAAACCCUAAUUGGGCCAUUUCAUCAGUUCUUCAUUAGAAUCAGAUAAAACUUGGAGGAGUGCUUCACUGCCCUUACUGGGAAAUUCAAUCCAAGUAUAGGUCGUUUCUGACGGCUGUUUCUGAAGAUCUAGUAUUUCUCCCACUUAUUGUCGACUUCUUCCUAAUAUCAUCAUGUCUGGAGUAACUAUUAUAUCUACUGCUAUCUCAGACUCUGAUGGGCAAGGUCGCAAUGAAUAUAUCACAUUUGGUGCUUGCUCUGUGAAAUUGGAGGGAACUAAUUACCUCAUCUGGUCUGAAACCACUUAUCUUAUGAUUGCUGGCAGAUGUCUCAUUGGUCACAUCACAGGAAAAUCAAAGAAACUCUCUGAGGAGAGUACCCCUCAGGACAAAUGGAUCACCAAUGACUCUCUGGUAAUGGCUUUUUCUAAUCAACUCUAGACAUCAUUCUAUUUCUAGAGGAGUCUUGUUGUUAGAAACUGCUUCUCAGAUUUGGGUUGCUGCCAAAGAAUCCUAUGGACAAAUAGGAAAUGAUGCUCAAAUAUUUGACCUUCGCAAGAAUGUGCGAACCACUACUCAACAUGACCUCUCUGUGUCCAAAUAUUGUGUUGAAUUCAAACUUUGUGGACUAUUAUUCCUCCAGUGCUGAAGAUAUUGCUCCUUAUACAAAAUAUGUGGACAAAAUUAGGGUGUAUGAUUUUUUGGAUGGUUUGAAUGUUGAGUAUGAUCAGAUUCGUAUCUAGGUACUUGGUAGAUCUCCCUUCUCUACUCUGAGUAGUCCUUUGCCCUGGUUCAUACGGAGGAGUGUCGUCGUAAUUCUAUACUUCACACUCCCCCUACUGAGAAAUCAGCCCUAUAGACUGGUUCUACUACUUCUGAGGGGGCUGCCCGUACUAGUGACAUUGCCAAGGAGAUAGUGAAAUGUGAACGCUGCAACAAAGAUAGUGAAAUGUGAACGCUGCAACAAACUAUACCAUACCAAAACAACAUGUGGAAUCUUCAUGGGAAACCAGUUGAUUUUGAAGCUAAGUGUGCUCGUGGUAAAUCCAAGAACGAGGUCCAUUAUGCUGAAAUUGUUGAGAAACCAUCUACAACUGAUAUUGGUCUCUCCCAAGAGGAGCUUCAGGCUUCCAAUUUAUCAGCACCUGCCAAUUCUGUCCCUUCAGGUUCCAACUUUGCUCUUUCAGGUAUCUUUUUUGAUGGGCAUUGCGCAUCGGUAGUCUCCAGUCUUUAGAUCAUUGACACCAGUGCCAUUGAUCAUAUAACUGGUUCUUCCAACCUUUUCCACCAGUAUUCACCCACCUCAGACAGAGAAAAAGUGAGGGACACAGAUGGCACCCUAUCUUUUGUCUCUGGAAAGGUUUCCAUUCAGUGUUCUACUUCUCUCACUUUAAAUUUAGUUUACAUAGCCCUAAUUUUACUACUAAUUUGCUAUCUAUUAGUAGCCUUACUAGGGACUUGAACGGUCAAGUAACCUUUUUUCCUUCCCACUGCAUUUUUCAAGAUCUGGCAGCAGGGAAGACGAUUGGAUGUGGUAAGGUGCAGAGUGGUCUCUAUUUGCUUGAUGAUGGUUGUCUUCCUAUAGCUGCGGUUUUCACUACUCCUCAUUAGCAACACUCCGUUUCUAGGGUUCCGACAGCAGCAAAAAAGAAAAAAAAAUAAAAAAAAGAGAAGAUCCUUCGAAACCCUUCCCUGUUUUAGGGUUCUGUCGAGUGAAAAAAAGAAAAGAAAAAGAAAGAACAACACAACAGAGAGAAAGAAGGACAGAAGAAGCAAGGAGAUAAAAUUAUUGAAGGAGAAGAAGCCAUACCCAAAACUUCUUCUCAGUUGACCCUUCUCUAGGGUUCCGCCAGCAAAAAAAAAAAAAAAAAGAAAGGAGGAAGUAGCA
Long non-coding RNA from Macadamia integrifolia, 4556 nucleotides. RefSeq lists it as uncharacterized. The transcript has 3 exons. The record is from RefSeq and is a predicted model, not a curated record. Lineage: Eukaryota; Viridiplantae; Streptophyta; Magnoliopsida; Proteales; Proteaceae.